UACGAAGGGGGCUAGCGUUGUUCGGAAUUACUGGGCGUAAAGCGCGCGCAGGCGGCUCCUCAAGUCAGGGGUGAAAGCCCAGGGCUCAACCCUGGAAUUGCCCUUGAAACUGUGGAGCUUGAGUACGGUAGAGGUGAGUGGAAUUCCCAGUGUAGAGGUGAAAUUCGUAGAUAUUGGGAAGAACACCGGUGGCGAAGGCGGCUCACUGGACCGUUACUGACGCUCAGGCGCGACAGCGUGGGGAUCAAACAGG
RNAcentral lists this unclassified non-coding RNA (253 nucleotides) under uncultured Alphaproteobacteria bacterium. Its description in RNAcentral is "contains 16S-23S intergenic spacer region". It matches the Rfam family "Bacterial small subunit ribosomal RNA", at positions 524 to 776 of the family's 1533-position model. Lineage: Bacteria; Pseudomonadati; Pseudomonadota; Alphaproteobacteria. The record is from RNAcentral.